This 253-nucleotide ribosomal RNA is filed under the name uncultured bacterium. Its description in RNAcentral is "partial 16S ribosomal RNA". It matches the Rfam family "Bacterial small subunit ribosomal RNA", at positions 524 to 776 of the family's 1533-position model. The record is from RNAcentral.
UACGGAGGGAGCGAGCGUUGUUCGGAAUUACUGGGCGUAAAGGGUGCGCAGGCGGCUUGGCACGUCGGCAGUGAAAUCCCAGGGCUUAACCCUGGAAUUGCUUUCGAAACUGCCAAGCUAGAGUCUCGGAGAGGUUAGCGGAAUUCCCAGUGUAGAGGUGAAAUUCGUAGAUAUUGGGAGGAACACCGGUGGCGAAGGCGGCAUCCUGGACCGGCAUUGACGCUGAGGCGCGAAAGCCAGGGGAGCAAACGGG